GGAGUGAUGUCCGAGCGGUCUAAGGAGCUUCUUUGCUAAAGAAGUGUUGUUUUUAACGCGUAGGUUCGAAUCCUACUCACUCCG
Non-coding RNA from Glomus cerebriforme, 84 nucleotides. NCBI's taxonomy places the organism in Eukaryota, Fungi, Glomeromycota, Glomeromycetes, Glomerales, Glomeraceae. The record is from the annotation of a GenBank genome assembly.